Molecule: ribosomal RNA, 450 nt
Filed under: uncultured bacterium
Lineage: Bacteria
Description: partial 16S ribosomal RNA
Rfam family: Bacterial small subunit ribosomal RNA
Source: RNAcentral
GUGGGGAAUAUUGCGCAAUGGGCGAAAGCCUGACGCAGCGACGCCGCGUGAGGGAUGAAGGUUUUCGGAUCGUAAACCUCUGUCAGAAGGGAAGAAACUACGUUGUGCUAAUCAGCAGCGUACUGACGGUACCUUCAAAGGAAGCACCGGCUAACUCCGUGCCAGCAGCCGCGGUAAUACGGAGGGUGCAAGCGUUAAUCGGAAUUACUGGGCGUAAAGCGCACGUAGGCUGUAGUGUAAGUCAGGGGUGAAAUCCCACGGCUCAACCGUGGAACUGCCUUUGAUACUGCACAACUUGAAUCCGGGAGAGGGUGGCGGAAUUCCGGGUGUAGGAGUGAAAUCCGUAGAUAUCCGGAGGAACACCGGUGGCGAAGGCGGCCACCUGGACAGGUACUGACGCUGAGGCGCGAAAGCGUGGGGAGCAAACAGGAUUAGAUACCCUUGUAGUCC